This 401-nucleotide ribosomal RNA is filed under the name Radomaniola curta meridionalis. RNAcentral describes it as "partial large subunit ribosomal RNA". It matches the Rfam family "Bacterial large subunit ribosomal RNA", at positions 1997 to 2619 of the family's 2925-position model. The record is from RNAcentral. Lineage: Eukaryota; Metazoa; Mollusca; Gastropoda; Littorinimorpha; Hydrobiidae.
CGGUUUGACAAGAGUAAAACUGUCUCUAUAUAAAUUUUAUAGAAUUUGGUUUUUAGGUGAAGAAACCUAAAUAAAAUUGAAAGACAAGAAGACCCUAUCGAGCUUAAAAUAAGUUUCUUGAAAAUAUUAAAGACUAGAUUCAUGAAAAAAUUUUGGUUGGGGCGACUAAGGAACAUCCAAAGCUUCCUAUAAAAUAUACAAACUAAUAAGUUUUGAUCCAAAAAUUUGAUUAACAGAAAUAGUUACCGUAGGGAUAACAGCAUAAUCUUUUUUGAGAGUUCAUAUCGAAAAAAAGGUUUGUGACCUCNAUGUUGGACUAGGAUACCCAGAAAAGGUGCAGAAGCCUUCAAUGGUUGGUCUGUUCGACCACUAAUAUCCUACGUGAUCUGAGUUCAUACCGA